UUUACUUUAACGACGCGACGAACCGUAGGAAUCUAAAUAAAAAAGUUUAUUUAAAAACGGCCUCAACCUAUUCUCAAACUUUAAAUGGGUGAGAUCUCCGGCUUGCUCGAACUUUAUAUGAAGCCGCGAGACUCGAAUCAGAGUGCCAAGUGGGCCAUUUUUGGUAAGCAGAACUGGCGCUGUGGGAUGAACCAAACGCCGAGUUAAAGCGCCUAAAUCGACGCUUAUGGGAUACCAUGAAUGGCGUUGGUAACUUAAGACAUCAGGACGGUGGCCAUGGAAGUCGAAAUCCGCCAAGGAGUGUGUAACAACUCACCUGCCGAAGUUACUAGCCCUGAAAAUGGAUGAGCGGAGCGGGAGAAGUGUUGUGAGGACAGGCAGCUCUUAUAAG
Molecule: non-coding RNA, 391 nt
Filed under: Tribolium castaneum (red flour beetle)
Lineage: Eukaryota; Metazoa; Arthropoda; Insecta; Coleoptera; Tenebrionidae
Description: Eukaryotic large subunit ribosomal RNA
Rfam family: Eukaryotic large subunit ribosomal RNA
Source: Rfam by way of RNAcentral